Long non-coding RNA from Leopardus geoffroyi (Geoffroy's cat), 1287 nucleotides. RefSeq lists it as uncharacterized. NCBI's taxonomy places the organism in Eukaryota, Metazoa, Chordata, Mammalia, Carnivora, Felidae. The transcript has 3 exons. The record is from RefSeq and is a predicted model, not a curated record.
CAGGUUAGCUAGGGUUGUGAGAAAGCACCGUCCACCUGACUCCUUGUCAAGGCCUCUCCUGGAAAGAGGCCCGUCUGCCGCUGCCUUGCUCUGAGAGCUGACGAGUCUCCAGCAGCCCCCUCACUGGGCUCCCACUGCUGGAGAGCCCCCUCCCCCAAGGCUGGGGCCGCCCUGCAGCAGGCAGGAGGGAGCCGGCCUCUCUCUGCCCCUGGCAGCACGAGAGGAACCUGGGAGCCCUUUGGCAGGACCUCGAGGGGGAAGGGACAAGACUGGUAGGACGGGCCAGCAGAACACUCGUUGGUCUGGAAAUGAGAACACCUGAGUCUGUGCAACGCUGAAUCUGCCAGUAACUUGCUAGUUUUUAACAUAUCGAAGCAACCAUGGAUACGUCAUGAAGCAGAAGGAGGACGUGGUGUACAGACGGAAGCUAAAACUUGAGGCUGAAGACCCUUCAAGACAAUGGACAUCUGGCCUGGGUUCUCCAAAGGAUCUAGGACCAUGAGGAACAAAGUAGGGGAGACAUCACAGCCCGAUGCCAUACGCCAUGUUUGAUUGGAUUCUGGACUGGGAAAAAAUAGAAGCCACAAAGAACAUUUGGGAGGCCACCAGGGAAACGUGAUGUUAGGUGUUAGGUGUUCGUGUUGUUCGUGUUAGGUGAUGUUGCCCAGUUAAUGCUGGUUAUCUCCGAUGUGGAGCUGGUGUGGGACUGUGGAGGGGAAUGUCCUGCUCUGGGGACACACACCCUGUGGUGUUCCGGGAUGGGCUAUCAUGAAUGCCCGCCUUCCUUUUGGAUGGUUGGCAAAAGUGAAGUGCGUGCGUGUGUGCGUGUGUGCGUGUGUGUGUGUGUGUGUGUGUGUGGAGAGGGAGAGGGAGGCGGACAUCCAGAGCCAGCCGGCCACGCACACACACAGAGGUGGAGAGGCCGUGGCGAGAUGUUCACAGUCGGUCAUCUCAACCAUUCAAUGGGUUUAGACACGUCUCCAGAUAAGAACGUGGGAAUCCUUGGAAAAGAACAAAACAGGCACCGAAAAGCCAUAAGUCCUGACUGAAAUCUCUCGUAGAGAACUACAGACAAGACUUAAGACUUCUCUCCUGUGACAGAUACGUGUCUUAAAUAUCCUCUCCACCCAUCUUCUCUGCAGAGUCUCACUUAUUAUGGAAACGUUUUCCUAUAAAAUACCCCCUGCCUCUCUUUUCGCAUCCUUCUUUUUGAAGGUUAGAUGCCUGCGUGUGAUGUUUCACUCUGGUAUCUACAUACUUGGCCAAGUUGCUUAAAAAAAAAAUCCU